Molecule: ribosomal RNA, 1255 nt
Filed under: Halomonas sp.
Lineage: Bacteria; Pseudomonadati; Pseudomonadota; Gammaproteobacteria; Oceanospirillales; Halomonadaceae
Description: bacterial SSU rRNA
Rfam family: Bacterial small subunit ribosomal RNA
Source: RNAcentral
GCGGGGGGGCGGCUACCAUGCAAGUCGAGCGGCAGCGGGAGGUGCUUGCACCUCGCCGGCGAGCGGCGGACGGGUGAGUAAUGCAUAGGAAUCUGCCCGGUAGUGGGGGAUAACCUGGGGAAACCCAGGCUAAUACCGCAUACGUCCUACGGGAGAAAGCAGGGGAUCUUCGGACCUUGCGCUAUCGGAUGAGCCUAUGCCGGAUUAGCUAGUUGGUAGGGUAACGGCCUACCAAGGCGACGAUCCGUAGCUGGUCUGAGAGGAUGAUCAGCCACACUGGGACUGAGACACGGCCCAGACUCCUACGGGAGGCAGCAGUGGGGAAUAUUGGACAAUGGGCGCAAGCCUGAUCCAGCCAUGCCGCGUGUGUGAAGAAGGCUUUCGGGUUGUAAAGCACUUUCAGUGGGGAAGAAGGCCUGUCGGUUAAUACCCGGCAGGGACGACAUCACCCACAGAAGAAGCACCGGCUAACUCCGUGCCAGCAGCCGCGGUAAUACGGAGGGUGCGAGCGUUAAUCGGAAUUACUGGGCGUAAAGCGCGCGUAGGCGGCGUGAUAAGCCGGUUGUGAAAGCCCCGGGCUCAACCUGGGAACGGCAUCCGGAACUGUCGCGCUAGAGUGCAGGAGAGGAAGGUAGAAUUCCCGGUGUAGCGGUGAAAUGCGUAGAGAUCGGGAGGAAUACCAGUGGCGAAGGCGGCCUUCUGGACUGACACUGACGCUGAGGUGCGAAAGCGUGGGUAGCAAACAGGAUUAGAUACCCUGGUAGUCCACGCCGUAAACGAUGUCGACUAGCCGUUGGGCGCCUCGAGUGCUUAGUGGCGAAGUUAACGCGAUAAGUCGACCGCCUGGGGAGUACGGCCGCAAGGUUAAAACUCAAAUGAAUUGACGGGGGCCCGCACAAGCGGUGGAGCAUGUGGUUUAAUUCGAUGCAACGCGAAGAACCUUACCUACCCUUGACAUCCUCGGAAUCCGCCAGAGAUGGUGGAGUGCCUUCGGGAGCCGAGUGACAGUGCUGCAUGGCUGUCGUCAGCUCGUGUUGUGAAAUGUUGGGUUAAGUCCCGUAACGAGCGCAACCCUUGUCCCUAUUUGCCAGCGAUUCGGUCGGAACUCUAGGAGACUGCCGGUGACAACCGAGAGGUGGGGACGACGUCAGUCAUCAUGCCCUACGGGUAGGCUAACCCACGUGCUACAUUGCCAGUACAAGGUCGCAAGGACGGCGACGUGGAGCUAUCCAAGAAAGCUGGCCUUCAGUUCCUA